GGUGAACGCUGGCGGCGUGCCUAAUACAUGCAAGUCGAGCGAACAGACGAGGAGCUUGCUCCUCUGACGUUAGCGGCGGACGGGUGAGUAACACGUGGAUAACCUACCUAUAAGACUGGGAUAACUUCGGGAAACCGGAGCUAAUACCGGAUAAUAUAUUGAACCGCAUGGUUCAAUAGUGAAAGACGGUUUUGCUGUCACUUAUGGAUGGAUCCGCGCCGCAUUAGCUAGUUGGUAAGGUAACGGCUUACCAAGGCGACGAUGCGUAGCCGACCUGAGAGGGUGAUCGGCCACACUGGAACUGAGACACGGUCCAGACUCCUACGGGAGGCAGCAGUAGGGAAUCUUCCGCAAUGGGCGAAAGCCUGACGGAGCAACGCCGCGUGAGUGAUGAAGGUCUUCGGAUCGUAAAACUCUGUUAUUAGGGAAGAACAAAUGUGUAAGUAACUAUGCACGUCUUGACGGUACCUAAUCAGAAAGCCACGGCUAACUACGUG
RNAcentral lists this ribosomal RNA (497 nucleotides) under uncultured bacterium. RNAcentral describes it as "partial 16S ribosomal RNA". It matches the Rfam family "Bacterial small subunit ribosomal RNA", at positions 28 to 507 of the family's 1533-position model. The record is from RNAcentral.